Molecule: long non-coding RNA, 347 nt
Organism: Pan paniscus (pygmy chimpanzee)
Lineage: Eukaryota; Metazoa; Chordata; Mammalia; Primates; Hominidae
Source: Ensembl
GCAAAGCUUUGAGGGGUAUGUGCAUUUUUCUGAUAUAAAAUAAAUCUCUUUUACCAGAUUCUGUUCAGGAACCAUGACACAAAAGAUGAAAAACUACUGAGAUGCAGACAUUCAAGCAAAUGUCACAUUCCUGAUCACAGACUAAGGGAGAUGGGGAGAGGGCUACUGUGUAUCAUCUCAAUAGAGAUGAGCAAGCUUUCUUAUAACUAGACGUGGAAAAUGGAAAGAAAGAAGAAAAUCUGGAGGAAGGCAAAGGAAUUUUAAGCAGAGUUUCAAGAAAGUAGUUGAUACCUCUGUCUCUGAAGACAGUUGCUGAGCAAAAAGAAGGGAAAAAGCAAGACUUGGGG